Long non-coding RNA from Eucalyptus grandis, 628 nucleotides. RefSeq lists it as uncharacterized. NCBI's taxonomy places the organism in Eukaryota, Viridiplantae, Streptophyta, Magnoliopsida, Myrtales, Myrtaceae. The transcript has 2 exons. The record is from RefSeq and is a predicted model, not a curated record.
UGACACCCAAAUACAAGGUUUAUAUAGGUGGCAUUCAUGCCAUUUUAUAACAAACGGAAUGGUGAGGAUUGCAGCUGCCACAGCUACCGGGACCUUCCCACGCGGACUUUUGGUGCCACCUCCUCUGUUGUAUAAUUGGGGUUUAUACCAAUAAAUUUUUGAUACUCCCUGCAAUAACCGCUGACGAUGGUGGUGUACAUGGUCACAUCUAGCUCUCAGCCUCUGUCUUCCAAAUUCUUCAGCAAUCGAAGGACUUUCCCAGUAUUGCCGGUUCUGCACAAUCCCUCAUCAUGGCUUGGCACAUGGUUAUAUCUACCUCGAUUGUCUGGCCAACAUUUCAUCCGCCAAGCUCGUGGCUUCGGCGAUUCUACCCUCUCCAACAAUCCCAUUGAUCAAAGUGUUAAGCUGGCAGUUGUGGGUUGAAGUCCAAGUUUGACCAUUUUACACAAAACUGAGGACCCGAGAUCGGAUCUUUUUAAUUGGCGGAGGUAAUUCAUCAAAAUGUUGCCAGUAAAACUGUUGGGAGUCGUUCCUUUCGAACCCAUCCGCUUGAUCAUGUCAAUGGUGACGGGGUAAUGCUUCAUCUUGGCCCCAACCCCCAAGAGUUGGGCGAAACAGGGAGGUAAAG